AGGAAGCUGCUCAAUAAAAUCCAUGGUAAUAUGUUGCCGAGUUUGAGAAGGAAUAGGCAAAGGUUGCAACAGACCGAGGGUAGCAUAAUUUAAGCCUUUACAUUUAGCACAUUCAGCUCAUUGUUGCACCCAUUGCACCACUUCAGCAUACACACCAGGCUAAUAAAAAUGUCAUUGAAGCCUCACAUAAGAGUUAUGAGUACUUGAAUGACCUCCCAUAGCAUUGUCAUGAUAUUAUGCAAAAAAUUGCUUCCUCAAAUCUCAA
This 265-nucleotide unclassified non-coding RNA is filed under the name Hevea brasiliensis (rubber tree). Lineage: Eukaryota; Viridiplantae; Streptophyta; Magnoliopsida; Malpighiales; Euphorbiaceae. The record is from RNAcentral.